AACACACACAGACUCUCCAUAUAUUAGAGCGCUUGGAUUUAUGUAUAUAAGAUAUACACAGCCCCCUACAGAUCUGUGGGACUGGUUUGAAUCCUUCCUUGAUGAUGAAGAGGACCUAGAUGUGAAGGCUGGUGGAGGCUGUGUAAUGACCAUUGGAGAAAUGCUACGAUCUUUUCUCACAAAACUGGAGUGGUUUUCUACCUUGUUUCCAAGAAUUCCAGUUCCAGUUCAAAAGAAUAUUGAUCAACAGAUUAAAACCCGACCUAGAAAAAUCAAGAAAGAUGGGAAGGAAGGUGCUGAGGAAAUAGACAGACAUGUUGAACGCAGACGUUCAAGGUCUCCAAGGAGAUCUCUGAGUCCACGGAGGUCCCCAAGAAGGUCAAGAAGUAGAAGUCAUCAUCGGGAGGGCCAUGGGUCUUCUAGUUUUGACAGAGAAUUAGAAAGAGAGAAAGAACGCCAGCGACUAGAGCGUGAAGCCAAAGAAAGGGAGAAAGAACGGCGAAGAUCCCGAAGUAUUGACCGGGGGUUAGAACGCAGGCGCAGCAGAAGUAGGGAAAGGCAUAGAAGUCGCAGUCGAAGUCGUGAUAGGAAAGGGGAUAGAAGGGACAGGGAUCGAGAAAGAGAGAAAGAAAAUGAGAGAGGUAGAAGACGAGAUCGUGACUAUGAUAAGGAAAGAGGAAAUGAACGAGAAAAAGAGAGAGAGCGAUCAAGAGAAAGGUCCAAGGAACAGAGAAGUAGGGGAGAGGUAGAAGAGAAGAAACAUAAAGAAGACAAAGAUGAUAGGCGGCACAGAGAUGACAAAAGAGAUUCC
Molecule: long non-coding RNA, 811 nt
Filed under: Homo sapiens (human)
Lineage: Eukaryota; Metazoa; Chordata; Mammalia; Primates; Hominidae
Description: long non-coding RNA NONHSAT149513.1
Source: RNAcentral